This 784-nucleotide ribosomal RNA is filed under the name Tetragonula carbonaria. RNAcentral describes it as "SSU rRNA". It matches the Rfam family "Eukaryotic small subunit ribosomal RNA", at positions 457 to 1201 of the family's 1831-position model. Lineage: Eukaryota; Metazoa; Arthropoda; Insecta; Hymenoptera; Apidae. The record is from RNAcentral.
CGGGGAGGUAGUGACGAAAAAUAACGAUACGGGACUCAUCCGAGGCCCCGUAAUCGGAAUGAGUACACUUUAAAUCCUUUAACGAGGACCAAUUGGAGGGCAAGUCUGGUGCCAGCAGCCGCGGUAAUUCCAGCUCCAAUAGCGUAUAUUAAAGUUGUUGCGGUUAAAAAGCUCGUAGUUGGAUCUGUGUGUCACAGUGUCGGUUCACCGCUCGCGGUGUUUAACUGGCAUUAUGUGAUACGUCCUAUCGGUGGGCUUAGCUCCUCGCGGGCGGUCCAACUAAUCUCCCAUCGCGGUGCUCUUCACUGAGUGUCGAGGUGGGCCGAUACGUUUACUUUGAACAAAUUAGAGUGCUUAAAGCAGGCUACCUUCGCCUGAAUACUUCGUGCAUGGAAUAAUGGAAUAGGACCUCGGUUCUAUUUUGUUGGUUUUCGGAGCCCCGAGGUAAUGAUUAAUAGGGACAGAUGGGGGCAUUCGUAUUGCGACGUUAGAGGUGAAAUUCUUGGAUCGUCGCAAGACGGACAGAAGCGAAAGCAUUUGCCAAAAAUGUUUUCAUUAAUCAAGAACGAAAGUUAGAGGUUCGAAGGCGAUCAGAUACCGCCCUAGUUCUAACCAUAAACGAUGCCAGCCAGCGAUCCGCCGAAGUUCUUCAGAUGACUCGGCGGGCAGCUUCCGGGAAACCAAAGCUUUUGGGUUCCGGGGGAAGUAUGGUUGCAAAGCUGAAACUUAAAGGAAUUGACGGAAGGGCACCACCAGGAGUGGAGCCUGCGGCUUAAUUUGACUC